This 261-nucleotide ribosomal RNA is filed under the name uncultured bacterium. RNAcentral describes it as "partial 16S ribosomal RNA". It matches the Rfam family "Bacterial small subunit ribosomal RNA", at positions 28 to 268 of the family's 1533-position model. The record is from RNAcentral.
GAUGAACGCUGGCGGCGUGCUUAACACAUGCAAGUCGAGCGAAGCACUUUACUUUGAAUUCUUCGGAAUGAAGAGUGAUUUGACUGAGCGGCGGACGGGUGAGUAACGCGUGGGCAACCUGCCUCAUACAGGGGGAUAACAGUUAGAAAUGGCUGCUAAUACCGCAUAAGCGCACAGCAUCGCAUGAUGCCGUGUGAAAAAACUCCGGUGGUAUGAGAUGGACCCCGCGUCUGAUUAGGUAGUUGGCGGGUAACGGCCCAC